RNAcentral lists this ribosomal RNA (432 nucleotides) under uncultured bacterium. RNAcentral describes it as "partial 16S ribosomal RNA". It matches the Rfam family "Bacterial small subunit ribosomal RNA", at positions 29 to 507 of the family's 1533-position model. The record is from RNAcentral.
ACGAACGCUGGCGGCAUGCCUAACACAUGCAAGUCGAACGAGACCUUCGGGUCUAGUGGCGCACGGGUGCGUAACGCGUGGGAACCUGCCCUUAGGUUCGGAAUAACUCCCCGAAAGGGGUGCUAAUACCGGAUAAUGUCUUCGGACCAAAGAUUUAUCGCCUUUGGAUGGGCCCGCGUUGGAUUAGCUAGUUGGUAGGGUAAAAGCCUACCAAGGCGACGAUCCAUAGCUGGUCUGAGAGGAUGAUCAGCCACACUGGGACUGAGACACGGCCCAGACUCCUACGGGAGGCAGCAGUGGGGAAUAUUGGACAAUGGGCGAAAGCCUGAUCCAGCAAUGCCGCGUGAGUGAUGAAGGCCUUAGGGUUGUAAAGCUCCUUUACCCGGGAUGAUAAUGACAGUACCGGGAGAAUAAGCUCCGGCUAACUCCGUG